GAGGCCCUAGCUUAAUUAAAGUGUCUGAUUUGCAAUCAGAAGAUAUAGAAGAGUUCUGUGGGUUUUA
Molecule: transfer RNA, 67 nt
Filed under: Lophosaurus spinipes (Southern forest dragon)
Lineage: Eukaryota; Metazoa; Chordata; Lepidosauria; Squamata; Agamidae
Description: tRNA-Ala
Rfam family: tRNA
About the family: Transfer RNA (tRNA) molecules are approximately 80 nucleotides in length.
Source: RNAcentral